AACGUGAGUCACUAGGGUUUACCGGAUUUACUGGGCGUAAAGGGUACCGUAGGCGGUCUAACAAGUCUGGCGUUAAAGCCUCCGAGCUCAACUUGGGGAAUGCGCUAGAUACUGCUAGACUAGAGAGCGGCAGAGGGAAUCGGAACUGCCGGUGUAGGGGUGAAAUCCGUUGAUAUCGGCAGGAACGCCGAAAGGGAAGCCAGAUUCCUGGGCCGUUUCUGACGCUGAGGGUCGAAACCGUGGGGAGCAAAAGGG
This 255-nucleotide ribosomal RNA is filed under the name uncultured bacterium. RNAcentral describes it as "partial 16S ribosomal RNA". It matches the Rfam family "Bacterial small subunit ribosomal RNA", at positions 524 to 776 of the family's 1533-position model. The record is from RNAcentral.